Molecule: transfer RNA, 78 nt
Filed under: Planctomycetota bacterium
Lineage: Bacteria; Pseudomonadati; Planctomycetota
Description: Planctomycetes bacterium (bioreactor metagenome) tRNA-Glu
Rfam family: tRNA
About the family: Transfer RNA (tRNA) molecules are approximately 80 nucleotides in length. Their secondary structure includes four short double-helical elements and three loops (D, anti-codon, and T loops). Further hydrogen bonds mediate the characteristic L-shaped molecular structure. tRNAs have two regions of fundamental functional importance: the anti-codon, which is responsible for specific mRNA codon recognition, and the 3' end, to which the tRNAs corresponding amino acid is attached (by aminoacyl-tRNA synthetases). tRNAs cope with the degeneracy of the genetic code in two manners: having more than one tRNA (with a specific anti-codon) for a particular amino acid; and 'wobble' base-pairing, i.e. permitting non-standard base-pairing at the 3rd anti-codon position.
Source: RNAcentral
GGCCCCAUCGUCUAGCCUGGUCCAGGACGGAUGGUUCUCAGCCAUCAAACCGGGGUUCAAAUCCCCGUGGGGUCACCA